GCAAGUCGAACGGCAGCACGGACUUCGGUCUGGUGGCGAGUGGCGAACGGGUGAGUAAUGUAUCGGAACGUGCCCAGUAGCGGGGGAUAACUACGCGAAAGCGUAGCUAAUACCGCAUACGCCCUACGGGGGAAAGCAGGGGAUCGCAAGACCUUGCACUAUUGGAGCGGCCGAUAUCGGAUUAGCUAGUUGGUGGGGUAACGGCUCACCAAGGCUACGAUCCGUAGCUGGUUUGAGAGGACGACCAGCCACACUGGGACUGAGACACGGCCCAGACUCCUACGGGAGGCAGCAGUGGGGAAUUUUGGACAAUGGGGGAAACCCUGAUCCAGCCAUCCCGCGUGUGCGAUGAAGGCCUUCGGGUUGUAAAGCACUUUUGGCAGGAAAGAAACGUCAUGGGCUAAUACCCCGUGAAACUGACGGUACCUGCAGAAUAAGCACCGGCUAACUACGUGCCAGCAGCCGCGGUAAUACGUAGGGUGCAAGCGUUAAUCGGAAUUACUGGGCGUAAAGCGUGCGCAGGCGGUUCGGAAAGAAAGAUGUGAAAUCCCAGAGCUUAACUUUGGAACUGCAUUUUUAACUACCGAGCUAGAGUGUGUCAGAGGGAGGUGGAAUUCCGCGUGUAGCAGUGAAAUGCGUAGAUAUGCGGAGGAACACCGAUGGCGAAGGCAGCCUCCUGGGAUAACACUGACGCUCAUGC
RNAcentral lists this ribosomal RNA (700 nucleotides) under bacterium YNG06B-16. RNAcentral describes it as "bacterial SSU rRNA". It matches the Rfam family "Bacterial small subunit ribosomal RNA", at positions 57 to 752 of the family's 1533-position model. The record is from RNAcentral.